Molecule: ribosomal RNA, 253 nt
Filed under: uncultured bacterium
Lineage: Bacteria
Description: partial 16S ribosomal RNA
Rfam family: Bacterial small subunit ribosomal RNA
Source: RNAcentral
UACGUAGGGGGCAAGCGUUGUCCGGAUUUAUUGGGCGUAAAGAGCGUGUAGGCGGUUAGGUAGGUCCGUUGUGAAAACUCGAGGCUCAACCUCGAGACGCCGAUGGAAACCAUCUGACUAGAGUCCGGAAGAGGAGAGUGGAAUUCCCGGUGUAGCGGUGAAAUGCGCAGAUAUCGGGAGGAACACCGGUGGCGAAGGCGGGUCUCUGGGCCGAUACUGACGCUGAGGAGCGAAAGCGUGGGGAGCGAACAGG